GAUGAACGCUGGCGGCGUGCCUAAUACAUGCAAGUAGAACGCUGAAGGAAGGAGCUUGCUCUUUCCGGAUGAGUUGCGAACGGGUGAGUAACGCGUAGGUAACCUGCCUGGUAGCGGGGGAUAACUAUUGGAAACGAUAGCUAAUACCGCAUAACAGUAGAUGUUGCAUGAUAUCUACUUAAAAGGUGCAAUUGCACCACUACCAGAUGGACCUGCGUUGUAUUAGCUAGUUGGUGAGGUAACGGCUCACCAAGGCGACGAUACAUAGCCGACCUGAGAGGGUGAUCGGCCACGCUGGGACGGGGACACGGCCCAGACUCCUACGGGAGGCAGCAGUAGGGAAUCUUCGGCAAUGGACGGAAGUCUGACCGAGCAACGCCGCGUGAGUGAAGAAGGUUUUCGGAUCGUAAAGCUCUGUUGUAAGAGAAGAACGAGUGUGAGAGUGGAAAGUUCACACUGUGACGGUAUCUUACCAGAAAGGGACGGCUAACUACGUG
This 497-nucleotide ribosomal RNA is filed under the name uncultured bacterium. RNAcentral's name for it is "partial 16S ribosomal RNA". It matches the Rfam family "Bacterial small subunit ribosomal RNA", at positions 28 to 507 of the family's 1533-position model. The record is from RNAcentral.